UAGUUAGUGGCGCACGGGUGCGUAACGCGUAUGCAACCUACCUUUUAUUGGGGGAUAGCCCGAAGAAAUUCGGAUUAAUACCGCAUAAUACUGUUUGAGGGCAUCUGAAGACAGUGAAAGCUACGGCGAUAAAAGAUGGGCAUGCGUGUCAUUAGCUAGUUGGUGUCAGGUAACGGCUCACCAAGGCGACGAUGACUAGGGGUUCUGAGAGGAUGAUCCCCCACACUGGUACUGAGAUACGGACCAGACUCCUACGGGAGGCAGCAGUAGGGAAUAUUGGGCAAUGGCGGAAACGCUGACCCAGCCAUGCCGCGUGCCGGAUGAAGGCCUUCUGGGUUGUAAACGGCUUUUACCAGGGAAGAAACUACCUUUGCGAAGGGAACUGACGGUACCUGGUGAAUAAGCACCGGCUAACUCCGUGCCAGCAGCCGCGGUAAUACGGAGGGUGCAAGCGUUGUCCGGAUUUAUUGGGUUUAAAGGGUGCGUAGGCGGCUUAGUAAGUCCGUGGUGAAAGCCAACAGCUCAACUGUUGAACUGCCAUGGAUACUGCUAGGCUUGAGUACAGACGAGGUAGGCGGAAUGGAUAGUGUAGCGGUGAAAUGCAUAGAUACUAUCCAGAACCCCGAUUGCGUAGGCAGCUUACUAGGCUGUAACUGACGCUGAGGCACGAAAGCGUGGGGAGCGAACAGGAUUAGAUACCCUGGUAGUCCACGCUGUAAACGAUGAUUACUCGAUGUUGGCGAUACACGG
This 750-nucleotide ribosomal RNA is filed under the name uncultured Sphingobacteriia bacterium. RNAcentral describes it as "bacterial SSU rRNA". It matches the Rfam family "Bacterial small subunit ribosomal RNA", at positions 89 to 836 of the family's 1533-position model. The record is from RNAcentral. Lineage: Bacteria; Pseudomonadati; Bacteroidota; Sphingobacteriia.